This 356-nucleotide ribosomal RNA is filed under the name Chalarus indistinctus. Its description in RNAcentral is "partial 12S ribosomal RNA". The record is from RNAcentral. Lineage: Eukaryota; Metazoa; Arthropoda; Insecta; Diptera; Pipunculidae.
UUAUAAUGUAAUUUAUAUAUUUGAGUAGUAUUAGUUAUGGUCUUGAAACUUAAAAAAUUUGGCGGUAUUUUAGUCUAUUCAGAGGAAUUUGUAAAGUAAUCGAUAAUCCACGUUAUACCUUUCUUAAACUUGUUAAUCAGCUUAUAUAUCGUCGUUAUAAGAAUAUUUUUAAAAAAUUUUAAAUUUUCUAAAAUUUUAAUUAAAUUUUAUAUCAGAUCAAGGUGUAGUUAAUGUUUAAGUUUUUAUGAAUUACAAUAAAAUUAUUUAUAUGGAUAUAAAAUUUAAAUAUUUUAUUUAAAGUGGAUUUGAAUGUAAAUUAAUAUAUUAAAAUUAAUUGAUUUUAGCUCUAAAAUAUG